UACGUAGGUGGCAAGCGUUGUCCGGAUUUAUUGGGUUUAAAGGGUGCGUAGGCGGCUUUGUAAGUCAGUGGUGAAAUACGGUAGCUCAACUAUCGAGGUGCCAUUGAUACUGCAGAGCUUGAGUACAGAUGAGGUAGGCGGAAUUGACGGUGUAGCGGUGAAAUGCGUAGAUAUCUGGAGGAACACCGGUGGCGAAGGCGGCAUCCUGGACCGACACUGACGCUGAGGAGCGAAAGCCAGGGGAGCAAACGGG
RNAcentral lists this ribosomal RNA (253 nucleotides) under uncultured bacterium. RNAcentral describes it as "partial 16S ribosomal RNA". It matches the Rfam family "Bacterial small subunit ribosomal RNA", at positions 524 to 776 of the family's 1533-position model. The record is from RNAcentral.